GGAUAUAGAAUAAGUAGAUGGGCUCCAAAAAUAACCCAAUUUGCCUCCUCCAAAAUUCGAGUAUCAUGCUCAAUUUGAAAGAGAACAGUACCAUUUUGAUCCAAUAUUGUGUAGGACAUGAAGAAUUAGUAAAGCCGCUCUUUACUAGGAGGCUUUGAGAGCUCUAAGGGACCUCCAACCUCCUCAUUUGGGCCUUCGUGUAGCAAGAUCAAAAUUAACUCUAACGUUUGUUUACUUUCAUUCCAGCUUUUCGCAAAAAAUAACUCAACAGUAGACGUGGAAGCAGUUGAAUCAUCAUCAUUACCUUUCUCAACAGUUAUUUAUGCAAGGGAUAACCACGUCACGCACAACCUGCUUUCGGCUCAGUUUGUGCUUCCUAUCCAUUUGCGCGGUACCACGCCCCGAUGAGUGGCAUCAACUUUCACCAGUUUUACAUCUCUAAACCAACGCUGCUAAUGAAAUGCUCAAGAUCCCUAAGCACAUUAAAGGGUUGCAGCAUUCUUAAGAAGCAUAAGUUGUCAUGCACUUACCAGUCAGCAAAAUUAUGUGAGUGGCAUGAACUACCUUAUAAAACGAAUGCUGAGAAAAUUUCCAUGAGAGUGCCAAUCGGCAAUACCAACAACACCAUUCUUGUGGGCAUGAUUACAUUUCUUGUCACAAUCGGUGGCUGCGUUUGCAUCCUGAGUUCUCUAUUUCUUUGCCUGUAAGUGUCCGUCUGCAAAUGAUCUUCCCAAAUUUCAUCGAAAUCGAUUCAUUUCAAAAACUUUUUCCAUGAUUUAUGGUACAAUCUUUUAAUCCUUUAAUGCAGAUUGCGCUGGAAGAAAAGUCACACACAUGAUCCUAUCAUAAACUACCAGAUAGUCUAGGAAUCUAUACUGUAUUUUCUUCAUUUCUUCAUCAAUAAUUUUUGUGAAAAAUGUUUUCUUCAGCUAUGGCGAUUGUUUUCAUCGUCAAUUCCAAUCUCCUACACAUCAAAAACCAAAUUUUACUGGGAUCGAAUCGUGCAUCAAACGUUGCUAUUGGCUCAACAAAUUAAUCAAUAAAUUUUUAAAAACACAGGACAAAUGAUCACAAAAAAUAAUAACCAUUCCUGUGAGAGGUACAAUCAAAUUUUUCUCAAUCAAUGCCUAUCUCAACCGAUAACACCUCAUUCAAGAAGUGAUGCAUGAAAGUUUCAGGGAAUGCCAGAAUUGUUUUCUACUAAAUUCUUUGCAAAGGGAAUACGUAACACAAUUCUUAAACUCGAGCCUUGUUUAGUGGUCCAUUUUGAUGUAGUUGAAUAGAAAGAAAGUUAUGCGGCAACCGCAACUGUCAAGCUGUGUUUCAUUCGAUAAGUUUGGUGUCUGUGAAUCAUCAGAUCAUGUUUGGUUGAUUGGCAGGUGCCGAAAAUGAACUAGAUUGCUUUUGCUCUGGUCUAAAUCAGGAGCAUAUUCUUCCUCAGGUGGAUGAAUGACUGGCUCAAAAUGUUCCAGCAGACCAACAAAUCUUGUUCACGAAUGAGCCUGGAAAGCAGAAGACUGUAUCAAACAGUAAGUUUCCAUCACUGAUUCCCCCUUCAGUAUGUUGCACCAAUCAUAGAACUUGAAUGCAAUCGUUUUGAUGGUUGUUUUGUUUCCUCUCUCUCCCUUUUAGUCUUGCACAUUAUUUGUUUCCAAGCCCACUUUUUGCUUAUUGUUGUCCUCCGCUCUUUCACCUAGUAAAGGGGAAAAAAGUGAAGUAAACAAAAUGUUAAAUUGUAUUAAAUUGGUAGAAUUUAUGUCAAUUUAUGGUCAGAACAUUCAUCGAAAUCAAACUCAGAUGGUUGCAGAUUAUAUAGCAGCAAAAAAUUAUAAGAUCUGUCGGAACACCUUUUCAUUGCCAGUAAUAACAAAGAUAUCACUCUCCGAAAAACAACGUCUAUAAUCCUUCCGACUGCAGUUCUACUCACCAUGGGUUUAUCAAUGUUAUAUUUGCAUAACUUUGAUUGAUGCCUCUGAAGUAAAGCAAAUGUUGUGAAAUUAGGAUACUGCAUUUGAACAAGCGCUAUCAUUUUUUGCUUAGCUUUAAUCUAAACCAUGAAAUUACAA
Molecule: long non-coding RNA, 2066 nt
Filed under: Bemisia tabaci
Lineage: Eukaryota; Metazoa; Arthropoda; Insecta; Hemiptera; Aleyrodidae
Description: lncRNA ENSSWEETPG010303
Source: RNAcentral